CCUACGGGUGGCAGCAGUGAGGAAUAUUGGUCAAUGGCCGGAAGGCUGAACCAGCCAAGCCGCGUGAAGGACGAAGGUGCCAAGCAUUGUAAACUUCUUUUGUCAAGGGACAAAAUCAGGCUCGAGAGCCUGACCGAGGGUACUUGAAGAAAAAGCAUCGGCUACUCCGUGCCAGCAGCCGCGGUAAUAAGGAGGAUGCGAGCGUUAUCCGGCUUUAUGGGGUUUAAAGGGUGCGUAGGCGGACUGUUAAGUCAGCGGUAAAAGCCCGGGGCUCAACCCCGGCGAGCCGUUGAAACUGGCUGUCGUGAGAUGUCGAGAGGUAUGCGGAAUGCGCAGUGUAGCGGUGAAAUGCUUAGAUAUUGCGCAGAACUCCGAUUGCGAAGGCAGCAUACCGGCGGCGAUCUGACGCUGAGGCACGAAAGCGUGGGUAUCGAACAGGAUUAGAUACCCCAGUAGUC
RNAcentral lists this ribosomal RNA (458 nucleotides) under uncultured bacterium. RNAcentral describes it as "partial 16S ribosomal RNA". It matches the Rfam family "Bacterial small subunit ribosomal RNA", at positions 338 to 795 of the family's 1533-position model. The record is from RNAcentral.